This 73-nucleotide transfer RNA is filed under the name Ailuropoda melanoleuca (giant panda). It matches the Rfam family "tRNA". From Rfam's summary of the family: Transfer RNA (tRNA) molecules are approximately 80 nucleotides in length. Their secondary structure includes four short double-helical elements and three loops (D, anti-codon, and T loops). Further hydrogen bonds mediate the characteristic L-shaped molecular structure. tRNAs have two regions of fundamental functional importance: the anti-codon, which is responsible for specific mRNA codon recognition, and the 3' end, to which the tRNAs corresponding amino acid is attached (by aminoacyl-tRNA synthetases). tRNAs cope with the degeneracy of the genetic code in two manners: having more than one tRNA (with a specific anti-codon) for a particular amino acid; and 'wobble' base-pairing, i.e. permitting non-standard base-pairing at the 3rd anti-codon position. Lineage: Eukaryota; Metazoa; Chordata; Mammalia; Carnivora; Ursidae. The record is from Rfam by way of RNAcentral.
GCCUGACUGGCUCAGUUGGUGGAGCGUGUGAUUCUCAAUCUUGGGGUCAUGUGUUCGAGCCCCAUGUUGGGGU